CUUGGAGCUUAACGGCGGAGGGACAUUACCAGAGUUUUUACAACUCCCAACCCUUCUGUGAACCUACCUAUCGCCUUGCUUCGGCGGACUCGCCCCAGCGUCCGGACGGCCCCGCGCCGGCCCGCGACCUGGACCCAGGCGGCCGCCGGAGGCCCUACAACCCUGUAUCCAUCAGUCUCUCUGAAUCCGCCGCAAGGCAAACAAAUGAAUCAAAACUUUCAACAACGGAUCUCUUGGUUCUGGCAUCGAUGAAGAACGCAGCGAAACGCGAUAAGUAAUGUGAAUUGCAGAAUUUAGUGAAUCAUCGAAUCUUUGAACGCACAUUGCGCCCGCCAGCAUUCUGGCGGGCAUGCCUGUUCGAGCGUCAUUUCAACCCUCGACAUCCCCUGGGGACGUCGGCCUUGGGGACCGGCAGCACACCGCCGGCCCUGAAAUCAAGUGGGGGCCCGUCCGCGGCGACCUCUGCGCAGUACUCCUGCUCGCACCGGGAACCUGACGCGGCCACGCCGAAAACACCCAACU
Molecule: ribosomal RNA, 522 nt
Filed under: Cordyceps cateniannulata
Lineage: Eukaryota; Fungi; Ascomycota; Sordariomycetes; Hypocreales; Cordycipitaceae
Description: eukaryotic LSU rRNA
Rfam family: 5.8S ribosomal RNA (bases 214-367)
Source: RNAcentral